GUAGGUGGCAAGCGUUGUCCGGAAUUAUUGGGCGUAAAGCGCGCACAGGCGGUUCUUUAAGUCUGAUGUGAAAGCCCACGGCUCAACCGUGGAGGGUCAUUGGAAACUGGAGAACUUGAGUACAGAAGAGGAAAGCGGAAUUCCACGUGUAGCGGUGAAAUGCGUAGAGAUGUGGAGGAACACCAGUGGCGAAGGCGGCUUUCUGGUCUGUAACUGACGCUGAGGCGCGAAAGCGUGGGGAGCAAACAGGGAUUAGAUACCCUGGUAGUCCACGCCGUAAACGAUGAGUGCUAAGUGUUAGGGGGUUUCCGCCCCCUUAGUGCUGCAGCUAACGCAUUAAGCACUCCGCCUGGGGAGUACGGCCGCAAGGCUG
This 373-nucleotide ribosomal RNA is filed under the name uncultured organism. Its description in RNAcentral is "partial 16S ribosomal RNA". It matches the Rfam family "Bacterial small subunit ribosomal RNA", at positions 527 to 896 of the family's 1533-position model. The record is from RNAcentral.